RNAcentral lists this ribosomal RNA (465 nucleotides) under uncultured bacterium. RNAcentral's name for it is "bacterial SSU rRNA". It matches the Rfam family "Bacterial small subunit ribosomal RNA", at positions 330 to 793 of the family's 1533-position model. The record is from RNAcentral.
GCCAGACUCCUACGGGAGGCAGCAGUGAGGAAUAUUGGUCAAUGGUCGGGAGACUGAACCAGCCAAGCCGCGUGAGGGAUGAAGGUACAGAGUAUCGUAAACCUCUUUUGUCAGGGAACAAAGGCGGGGACGCGUCCCCGGAUGAGUGUACCUGAAGAAAAAGCAUCGGCUAACUCCGUGCCAGCAGCCGCGGUAAUACGGAGGAUGCGAGCGUUAUCCGGAUUUAUUGGGUUUAAAGGGUGCGCAGGCGGAGGUGCAAGUCAGCGGUCAAAUUGCGGGGCUCAACCCCGUACUGCCGUUGAAACUGCAUCCCUUGAGUGCGCGAGAAGUAUGCGGAAUGCGUGGUGUAGCGGUGAAAUGCAUAGAUAUCACGCAGAACUCCGAUUGCGAAGGCAGCGUACCGGCGCCCAACUGACGCUCAUGCACGAAAGCGUGGGUAUCGAACAGGAUUAGAUACCCCGGUAC